UUGAACAAUUUUGAACGCCAAUGGGUGGA
RNAcentral lists this small RNA (29 nucleotides) under Bombyx mori (domestic silkworm). RNAcentral's name for it is "ovarian small RNA-9682". Lineage: Eukaryota; Metazoa; Arthropoda; Insecta; Lepidoptera; Bombycidae. The record is from RNAcentral.